ACAAACUUGGUCAUUUAGAGGAAGUAAAAGUCGUAACAAGGUAACCGUAGGUGAACCUGCGGUUGGAUCAUUAACAAAUUCAACAUGGGCCGCUCUAGGAUUUAUCCUUUUGCGGCACUUGAACAAUUUUGUGGACUGUUAUUUAAAUAAUUUUGGGUAUGGUUUGAUGAGUGCUUAUUGGCUUUCUAAGACAAAAAGAACUUUGAACGAAGGUGGGAGUUUUUUUUGAACUCCUUGCCUGCCCAGUUUAAUAUUAGACCUUUAGUAGAAAAACUUGUCUUUAUAUAAAUUGAUUUUUUUUCUGAAAAUGAAAAUAAAACAACUUUUGACAACGGAUCUCUAGGCUCUCGCAUCGAUGAAGAACGCAGC
Molecule: unclassified non-coding RNA, 369 nt
Filed under: uncultured fungus
Lineage: Eukaryota; Fungi
Description: partial contains small subunit ribosomal RNA, internal transcribed spacer 1, and 5.8S ribosomal RNA
Rfam family: Eukaryotic small subunit ribosomal RNA (bases 1-73)
Source: RNAcentral